RNAcentral lists this long non-coding RNA (1582 nucleotides) under Nicotiana benthamiana. RNAcentral describes it as "long non-coding RNA (NBEN_LNC030788)". Lineage: Eukaryota; Viridiplantae; Streptophyta; Magnoliopsida; Solanales; Solanaceae. The record is from RNAcentral.
UCAAGCUAGGCAAACUAAUAAGUACAUGCUAUUGGCAAUGAGAAUAGCAGAAACAUAAGUAAAAGUACACAAGAAAACAGAAGGAAGUGCAGAACUAAUAGAAGCAUGUUGUUUUGGAGGCUAUAACUUAAAGAGGUGACAUACUAGUUGCAGAUAAUAGAAACAAUAGAAAUGAGCAAUAGUGCACAAAGGAGAGCAAAGUGUGCAGAGAUUGUGCAGAGAGUGAGAGCAGAAGUGUGCAGAGAAGCAAGCAGCAGGUAAACCCAAGUAAAUAAUGCAGUAUAGCCCCAGUAGUAGAAAUAAAUACCCAAGAUUACUCAAUCUUGAAUUUUAGCCGAUUGAGUGUUCAAUAGGAGAAUGAAAGAGUUUUUACAGAAACAAUAGAGAAAGAGAUAGCACUGCGUGUUAUUGAAAGAGAGUUCAGAGAGAUUACAAUGUGUUGGUGUGUGUUAAGUGAGAAAGGAAGAACAAUACUUAUAGUUUUUCAAAGAAUAGUAGAGAAUAGGGUAAGGAGUAUAUAAUUAUAGAAACAGUACCAAAUUGAAUCAAUCAUAGGUCCUAAUGCAACUAAAUCAGGGACUCAUGAUUCGAAUAGGAGUAUAGGCUACAAAAUAAGGAAAGAAUAAUUCUGAUUACUGAUUAUACCAUAACAAAAGCAGUAAGCAUGCUGCAUGUAAUAGAGUCUAGGCACACAAUGCUUCAAGCAAGGAAAAAUAUACGCGGGAUAGACAAAAAUAUAUUUAAGUGCACAGUUAUGGUAACCAUAUAAAUUAACCAUGGAAAUCAAUCAAAGAGUCACAGGCAAGACAAAAAUAAGAGAGAAUCCGUCCCAAACAUAUAGAGCAAUCUCAUAAAGUAAGGAAACAAUUUGUAAAAUCAGUGUAUGAACACCUACAAGUUAGGGAUUCAAAAAGAUGCUCGGAAUUAACAGAAUAUUCAGUAAAGAAAGGCAUUCGAAUUUUUUUAAGCAAAACAACCACAAAACUAAGAACCCUAAGCAAGAAAUUCCAUAAAACAAUGGGGAGUCGGAACCCUAGAAAGAUUUAAGACAUGGAACUCAGAAAACAAAAGGUUUCAAGCACAUAGCAUGGGAGUAAUCACAUAAUAUCCAAAAGAAACAGAAGCAUAAUGAUUAAAAAAGGGUCAGAACCCCUAGUUUUAAUAAGGGGAAGAGGAAUUUUGAAAACUUGAAUUAGUUAAAGAUAUCGAGUAAACGUAGUGUAGAACACAAAGAUUAAACUGAAAAUUGUUUAAAAAGAACUAAGAUUAAAUAGAUUUAGGCAAAAAUUAGGGUUUGAAAAAUAAAUUAGGGAAAUGAGAACCCUGGCCGUGAAACUCGUUAAUAAUGCCAUACAAGGAAUCAUCGGACAAAAACCCAUCGGUGAAAAGCCAGCAGCAGACCCAGGCAAAGCUUCAGCGACCAUCUUUCAUGGCAGAAUAUUCUGGGCUUCAAACUUUAGAGAGAAACAAUGAGAUGAGGGUUCCAUGGUGACUAGAGAUCGAGAGAAGUGAGGGAGGAGUAUGGCUGGAGAGGCGACGAGCUUCAUCGAAGAAGAAGGAACCAAAAGUUUCUAGAGAAAAG